RNAcentral lists this transfer RNA (74 nucleotides) under Salvia splendens (bonfire salvia). It matches the Rfam family "tRNA". From Rfam's summary of the family: Transfer RNA (tRNA) molecules are approximately 80 nucleotides in length. Their secondary structure includes four short double-helical elements and three loops (D, anti-codon, and T loops). Further hydrogen bonds mediate the characteristic L-shaped molecular structure. tRNAs have two regions of fundamental functional importance: the anti-codon, which is responsible for specific mRNA codon recognition, and the 3' end, to which the tRNAs corresponding amino acid is attached (by aminoacyl-tRNA synthetases). tRNAs cope with the degeneracy of the genetic code in two manners: having more than one tRNA (with a specific anti-codon) for a particular amino acid; and 'wobble' base-pairing, i.e. permitting non-standard base-pairing at the 3rd anti-codon position. Lineage: Eukaryota; Viridiplantae; Streptophyta; Magnoliopsida; Lamiales; Lamiaceae. The record is from Rfam by way of RNAcentral.
GGGCAUUUGGUCUAGUGGUAUGAUUCUCGCUUAGGGUGCGAGAGAGGUCCCGAGUUCAAUUCUCGGAAUGCCCC